RNAcentral lists this ribosomal RNA (461 nucleotides) under uncultured bacterium. RNAcentral describes it as "bacterial SSU rRNA". It matches the Rfam family "Bacterial small subunit ribosomal RNA", at positions 29 to 526 of the family's 1533-position model. The record is from RNAcentral.
AACGAACGCUGGCGGCAGGCUUAACACAUGCAAGUCGAACGCAUCCUUCGGGGUGAGUGGCAGACGGGUGAGUAACGCGUGGGAACGUGCCCUUCAGUUCGGGAUAACCCAGGGAAACUUGGGCUAAUACCGGAUACGUGCGAGAGCAGAAAGAUUUAUCGCUGAAGGAUCGGCCCGCGUCUGAUUAGCUAGUUGGUGGGGUAAUGGCCCACCAAGGCGACGAUCAGUAGCUGGUCUGAGAGGAUGAUCAGCCACAUUGGGACUGAGACACGGCCCAAACUCCUACGGGAGGCAGCAGUGGGGAAUAUUGGACAAUGGGCGCAAGCCUGAUCCAGCCAUGCCGCGUGAGUGAUGAAGGCCUUAGGGUUGUAAACUCCUUUCGCCAUUGACGAAGCCCUUUGGGGUGACGGUAGGUGGAGAAGAAGCACCGGCUAACUACGUGCCAGCCGCCGCCGUAAAAC